This 324-nucleotide ribosomal RNA is filed under the name Triticum aestivum (bread wheat). RNAcentral's name for it is "partial small subunit ribosomal RNA". Lineage: Eukaryota; Viridiplantae; Streptophyta; Magnoliopsida; Poales; Poaceae. The record is from RNAcentral.
GCCAGAGGCGGGAGGCAAUACAGAUUCGGUCCUUCUCUGAAGACUCCAGAGAAGUUGCCAUAUGAGAGGACCGAGGAGGAGAACGCGAAGAUCGUGCGAGCCGAAGUGAAGAACUUCUUUGAAGGGGUCAAAGCAAAGAAACAUCCACCUCCGGAGGAGAAGGUAGAUCUGGUGAAAGCAAAGCGCACUCUGGCUACCCUGACAAAACCACCAAAGUCUCCGCCAAAAGGCAACUAUGAGCGCGUUCUUGCAAAGGCAUAUGCCGAAGCGGAGCGGUCGGGAAGUACUGUCAGUGAUAAAAGGAUGAAAGAACGACGAGCUGGG